This 542-nucleotide ribosomal RNA is filed under the name uncultured bacterium. RNAcentral describes it as "bacterial SSU rRNA". It matches the Rfam family "Bacterial small subunit ribosomal RNA", at positions 777 to 1320 of the family's 1533-position model. The record is from RNAcentral.
AAUAGAUACCCCAGGUAGUCCACGCCGUAAACGAUGAAUACUAGGUGUAGGGGUUGUCAUGACCUCUGUGCCGCCGCUAACGCAUUAAGUAUUCCGCCUGGGGAGUACGGUCGCAAGAUUAAAACUCAAAGGAAUUGACGGGGGCCCGCACAAGCAGCGGAGCAUGUGGUUUAAUUCGAAGCAACGCGAAGAACCUUACCUAGACUUGACAUCUCCUGCAUUACCCUUAAUCGGGGAAGUCGCUUCGGCGACAGGAAGACAGGUGGUGCAUGGUUGUCGUCAGCUCGUGUCGUGAGAUGUUGGGUUAAGUCCCGCAACGAGCGCAACCCUUAUUGUUAAUUGCUACCAUUUAGUUGAGCACUCCAGCGAGACUGCCCGGGUUAACCGGGAGGAAGGUGGGGAUGACGUCAAAUCAUCACGCCCCUUAUGUCUAGGGCUACACACGUGCUACAAUGGCAAGUACAAAGAGAAGCAAGACCGCGAGGUGGAGCAAAACUCAAAAACUCGUCUCAGUUCGGAUUGUAGACUGAAACUCGCCUACA